GGAGUUUUAUUAUGUAACAAUAGAACACUAAUGCAAUGCCUCUGACAACCUAACCUAACUAUAUGGAAAAUGGAAAAUAGUAUAGGGCCACCAUUUAAUAAUGUGUCAUGGGUUGAUAUUAUUUAUUUCCUUCAUUUUAACUUAAGAAGGCUAAAUCAAUCUCUCUCUCUCUCUCUCUCUCUCUCUCUCUCUCUCUCUCACACACACACACACACACUUUCCUCUAUUUAUAGAUAUUGGAAUUAAAAUUUCUUGAAUACUAUCAAAUAUAACUUUCUUCACUUUAUAUAAGUAAAACAAUGUAUAUCAGAUUGGCUAAUAAGUUUGUUCCAAGAUUACACAUCUAGUUAGUGGUUAACACUUGAGUCAGGGUCUUGUUUAAAAUUUCUUUUUUAAUUAAGACAAAUAAAAAAAUUAAAAAGCAAUUUCUAGAUUUUUACCAAAAGCUAAGAAAUUGAUGGGUAUGUAGACAGAGAUGAUCAUCAUUGAUGCUGUGAUAUGCUACAUGGGCCCUGUUCAUAAAAGGCUUCUUCCUGCAGCAGCUGGAAGGCCUCCAGCUGUUACUCUACUCCAAGGAAUGCUUCUCUGGGUUGGAGGGAGCCACCUUGCCCAACAUCAUGCCCUUUCUUCUUGCAGCCCACUUCUAACGACUGCUGAAGGAAGGGAUAUAGAGAAUGGCUUCCUCCCACAACUCAAGCCAGUUCUGAACAGCCCCAUGUUUCAGAACUCCCCAUGGGCUCAACAAUGUUUUUCACUGAGACUGCACAAAGCUUAACUGCUCUCUGUUCAGUUUUACUUCCUCCUUUUCCAAGUGUUGAUACUGCAGGAGAAUAAAAUAUCCCACCCCAAAUAUAUAUUUUCGGCAUAUUUCAAGUUGAUUAUUCAGAGGAACUGUAGACCUCUGCAGACACAAGAAAUUAGUCUGAAAAGCUGUCCUUGGGAAAGAAGAAACUUUCAUCUGUCAAAAUUAGUGAUGUAAAAAGCACAUGUAUGCAGUUUUUUCUAGUGGAUACCCCACAUUCUGCCUAGGAAAAGUCUUUCAUAGGUAGAAAAAAUUGAGGACCUGACAUUUGGCCCAGAUAGAGAUGACCAUAAUGACUGUCACCUGGAAGACCUCAUCUGCAAAAGAAGACAAUCUUUCUUGCUCUGCUAUCCCCUUCCAUAGCCUAAAUUACCUCUUUUCCCCUGAGGAAGCCCAAGCCCCUGUCCCUUUAUUUAGCACCAUGUAAAUUUUAGCUAUCU
RNAcentral lists this long non-coding RNA (1242 nucleotides) under Marmota monax (woodchuck). Lineage: Eukaryota; Metazoa; Chordata; Mammalia; Rodentia; Sciuridae. The record is from RNAcentral.